UACCAGCUCAUUCUCUCCUGCAUUCCU
RNAcentral lists this non-coding RNA (27 nucleotides) under Rattus norvegicus (Norway rat). Lineage: Eukaryota; Metazoa; Chordata; Mammalia; Rodentia; Muridae. The record is from RNAcentral.